CUACGGGCGGCAGCAGUUAAGUAUAUUCUGCAAUGCGCGAAAGCGUGACAGAGUGAAUCAGAGUGCUUUUCAAUGAAAAGCUUUUGUGUAGUGUAAAAAGCUACACGAAUAAGGACUGGGUAAGACGAGUGCCAGCCGCCGCGGUAAUACUCGCGGUCCAAGUCGCAGCCAUUUUUAUUGGGUCUAAAACAUCCGUAGCUUGUUUAAUAAGUUCUUUGUGAAAUCCUAUAUCUCAAGUAUAGAACGAGCAGAGAAUACUAUUAGGCUAGAGACUGGAAGACGUAAGAAGUACGAUUUAGGUAGCGGUAAAAUGUUUUAAUCUUAAUCGGACUAACAAGAGCGAAGGCAUCUUACGAGUACAGUUCUGACAGUAAGGGAUGAAGGCCAGGGGCGCAAAACGGAUUAGAUACCCGUGUAGUC
This 420-nucleotide ribosomal RNA is filed under the name uncultured archaeon. RNAcentral describes it as "partial 16S ribosomal RNA". It matches the Rfam family "Archaeal small subunit ribosomal RNA", at positions 323 to 746 of the family's 1478-position model. The record is from RNAcentral.